UUCCUCAAAAAAAAAAAGAAAAGAAAAGAAAAGAAAAGAAGAAAGUCGCAGAUACCUCAAGUUGAAGCUCCUGGCCUUGCCCCUGCUUCCCGGAGCAGUCCAUGAGACAGCUCUUCCCAGUUCCCAGUGGGACUCUGGGGAGGACAGAUUAAAAGCCGCUAGAGAUCCUCUCAAGUUCUAGGAAGCCCAGCCCCAGAAGGCAGCAGUGUCACAUCACAGCUCUACUCAGGGGGAAAGAAACCUUUUAUGAUUGGAGACAAAGAUGUCACCGGCUGGGGAACUUUCUCUCUGCUUCAGCAAAAUAGAAGAGCAGGCAAAGUGUGGGAUUCUCAAACUUUAGCCUACAGUGGACCUGCCCAAGGGACCUUGACAAACAGGUGGACUUGCAGGCUCCUCCCCCCGCGGUCCCCAUCCUGAUUCCCCAGGUGUGGAAUGGAGCCAAAGGAAUCAGCGUUGUAACCAGCCCUCCAUGUGGUUCUGAUGCAGAUGGUACAAAACCUGCAUUUUGAGAACAGUAAGCAUAAAGGAAGCAGAGGACACACGACCUGACAAAGGGUACUCUGGAGAUGAUGUGGAUCCUGAGGAAGUGCUUGCGGUCCUUCAGGAGUCCAUUACUCUACCCCUGGAAAUACCAUCUGGUGAAGAGGUUGAGGACAUCAUCUGGUCCUCCCGCAUAAGGCUUGCCACUGUGGUGCCAGGGAAAGAGGGACAUCCAGACACCAUCACAGUGACCAACUCUCGCUACCAGGGCCGAGUGAGCUUCUUGGGCCCCAGCUACUCCCUGCACAUCAGCAAUGUGACCUGGGAGGACUCAGGGUCUUACAAAGCUCAAGUCAAUCUGAGGACAUCCCAGAUCUCCACCACGCAGCAUUACAAUCUACGUGUCUAUCGACGGCUGUCAGAGCCUCAAAUCACUGUGAACUUUGAGAUCUCUGCGGAAGGUCCCUGUAAUAUGUCCCUGACCUGCUCUGUAGAGAAGGCAGGGCUGGAUGUGACCUACAGCUGGAUAUCCCGGGAGGACGGUGCUGACACAGCUCGUGAAGGCUCUGUCUUCAGCACAUCCUGGAGGCCUGGGGACAAUGCCCUCUCCUAUACCUGUAGGGCCGGCAACCCCGUCAGCAACGUCAGUUCCCGUCUCAUCCCUGCUGGGCCCUUCUGUGCAGAUCCUGGCUACCCUUUGGAGAAGGCCUCCACUUCCUUCUGCCUCCUGGCCAAGGGAUUGCUCCUUCUCUUGCUCUUGGUGAUUCUGGCCGUGGGACUCUGGUAUAUCCAAGUCCAGACAAGAUGCAAAACGCCAAGGAUGAAGACAUUCAGGAGAAACAGAAGGAAACUGAGAAAGAAGGGGAAGCCUGAUCCCAGCUGGGCCUGAUUGCCCCAUGGAGACCCCAGUUCAGAGCUUUGUUUCUUUCCAGCCCCCGGGGAAUCCUUCCUCUUCUCCCAGGGGGGUGAGGGGUGGAUGUCCAACGGGCCAUACUCCCAAGGGAAGAUUGUCUGACAAUAAACUAAAACGA
Equus quagga is the source of this 1511-nucleotide RNA transcript. It is a transcript of the gene named SLAM family member 9, with no coding region annotated. Lineage: Eukaryota; Metazoa; Chordata; Mammalia; Perissodactyla; Equidae. The record is from RefSeq and is a predicted model, not a curated record. The transcript has 4 exons.